Long non-coding RNA from Papaver somniferum (opium poppy), 1133 nucleotides. RefSeq lists it as uncharacterized. The record is from RefSeq and is a predicted model, not a curated record. The transcript is spliced from 8 exons. NCBI's taxonomy places the organism in Eukaryota, Viridiplantae, Streptophyta, Magnoliopsida, Ranunculales, Papaveraceae.
AUUAAACCUUGCCGUUUCUCCCACUAAUCGUUUCUCUCAGAAACCAUGAUUCCAUCUCAAGCUUCGCACCAUUCCUCAAUCUAUAAAGAUUUUCUUCCUCCAAUCUCAAUUGUGAACCAUCAUUUCCUUCUUGAAUCUCAACUGUAAACCAUUUUCUUUUCUUUUAUUUCUUAUCUUUUAGGGUUCUAAUCAACUGUUCUUCUAUUUCGUCUUGUAACCAAAGAAGAAAUCAAACCCACCCCCUUUUAUUUCAUCAUCAGUAGUAUACCGAAGAAGAGUCAGUGAAGAUUUUAUGGUUAGAAGCAUGAAUUAUCGGUGAAUUUGUUUGUGUGUUUUGGGUAAUUCUCAGUAUUACAUUUACAGAAGCAGCUAAUGCCAGACUGGAGCAACGGCUAUGUGGGGGAAGGGACUUAGGGACAAGAAGCUGGUGGAGAAAUUGUAUGCUGAGCAGAACUAGACAAUGAAAACUAGGCCCGUUGUUCCUGGCUUGUUCUGAUUAGAGAAGAGGCUGGAAUAUGAUGGGAGGUGGAAUUUCAGAUGCAAGGAAUGACUGGGGCUUCACUACUCUCCCUGAAGCAGAGGAAGAGGCAAAAGCAGUUGGUCAGUUGUUGUUACGAAGGUGACGAAAGGUUGCUUAGGGGGAGAAUUUAUGCCCAGUGAUACGCUUGCAAAACACCUAUUUUAUUCUUAAGCUUGGAAUGAUUGUUUUGCCGCAGGUGCUGAUGGCAAGAAAGGUGGUGCUGGGCAUCAAGCAACUCCUUACCCCCAAGGGAGGAAAAGACCCCUGCAAGAGGAGGCAACAUGUCAAACAAAUCUCCAAAAUCUACUGGUUUAUCAUUUUGCUGUGGGUACAUUAUUCUGGUGGUGACUGCACGAAAGAGGUGGUGUUGGGCAUCAAGCGACCCCUGCAAGUGGAGGCAACAAGUCAAAUCUACAGGGUCAGUUUCGUGCAAUUCUUGUAACAAGUAAACAUAUCUCACCUUUGUUUUAUGUGGAUUAUUUCAUAGAACCGCAACCACUGGGUAGUACUCCUUUAGUCUGUAACUUGAGAUACUUUAUAGUACAAGUCGUGCUGGUACUUUCAUCAAACAAAAUUCCCAGAUUUGGAUCUUGAACCACUGUAGUUUGUUAAA